GCCUCCCUCUGGCGGCGUGCUUAACACAUGCAAGUCGAACGGAAAGGCCCUGCUUUUGUGGGGUGCUCGAGUGGCGAACGGGUGAGUAACACGUGAGUAACCUGCCCUUGACUUUGGGAUAACUUCAGGAAACUGGGGCUAAUACCGGAUAGGAGCUCCUGCUGCAUGGUGGGGGUUGGAAAGUUUCGGCGGUUGGGGAUGGACUCGCGGCUUAUCAGCUUGUUGGUGGGGUAGUGGCUUACCAAGGCUUUGACGGGUAGCCGGCCUGAGAGGGUGACCGGCCACAUUGGGACUGAGAUACGGCCCAGACUCCUACGGGAGGCAGCAGUGGGGAAUAUUGCACAAUGGGCGGAAGCCUGAUGCAGCAACGCCGCGUGCGGGAUGACGGCCUUCGGGUUGUAAACCGCUUUCGCCUGUGACGAAGCGUGAGUGACGGUAAUGGGUAAAGAAGCACCGGCUAACUACGUG
RNAcentral lists this ribosomal RNA (468 nucleotides) under uncultured bacterium. Its description in RNAcentral is "partial 16S ribosomal RNA". It matches the Rfam family "Bacterial small subunit ribosomal RNA", at positions 36 to 507 of the family's 1533-position model. The record is from RNAcentral.